ACGAACGCUGGCGGCGUGCCUAAUACAUGCACGUAGAACGCACAGUUUAUACCGUAGCUUGCUACACCAUAAACUGUGAGUUGCGAACGGGUGAGUAACGCGUAGGUAACCUGCCUGGUAGCGGGGGAUAACUAUUGGAAACGAUAGCUAAUACCGCAUAAUAUUAAUUAUUGCAUGAUAAUUGAUUGAAAGAUGCAAUUGCAUCACUACCAGAUGGACCUGCGUUGUAUUAGCUAGUAGGUGAGGUAACGGCUCACCUAGGCGACGAUACAUAGCCGACCUGAGAGGGCGAUCGGCCACACUGGGACUGAGACACGGCCCAGACUCCUACGGGAGGCAGCAGUAGGGAAUCUUCGGCAAUGGACGAAAGUCUGACCGAGCAACGCCGCGUGAGUGAAGAAGGUUUUCGGAUCGUAAAGCUCUGCUGUAAGAGAAGAACGGGUGUGAGAGUGGAAAGUUCACACUGUGACGGUAUCUUACCAGAAAGGGACGGCUAACUACGUG
Molecule: ribosomal RNA, 504 nt
Filed under: uncultured bacterium
Lineage: Bacteria
Description: partial 16S ribosomal RNA
Rfam family: Bacterial small subunit ribosomal RNA
Source: RNAcentral